UUUGGUUUGGUUUGGUCUGGUUGUUUCUUUGGUUUGGUUUGGUUUGGUAUUUUUCCAGAACAAAGGCAUGCUGAAAGUCUGCAGCCUUGUUUUUCUUUCAAAGUUUGAACUUUUUUUUCUUGAAACUAAGUAAAAGAAAAACAAACCAUCAUUCCCCCAAGAUGGCUAGAAAACAAUCAUUUACAAUGUCAGUAUGGAAAAGAUGGAGGUUUAAAAAGAAAAGAGUCUGGGGCACAAGAUGAUAUAUACAGUCAUGAAAGCUGGAUGGUAGUAUCACCUGCCUUCUCAGAUAACCUGGAAACCAAGAUUCUGAUUCCCCUGAAGAGACACAGACAGUGAACCAAGACCAUGCUUAACAGUGAUCUUUGAAGUCUCCAAAAAGAUGAUGGGACCCCACAAUGACUAUUCCACCAGGACUAUGAUAACACUACUAAGCUGACAAACACCACCUAAAGAUCAGCUUUGGACUACAAACUCCUCAGGACAAUUUCAAGAUGGCUAGCUGAGAUUAUCAAGCCUCACAGACUACUCUAGUCAAGACUUGAGAUAAGCUCUGCACUUUCCGAUUAUACAGAGACUGGACAACAAAUGAUACAGCUACCUCUCCCAGGACUUGACAAUUAAUCCCAAUUUUCUUUUCAGGAUUCCCUAAAGAUGGAUAAAAGGUGGUUUCCAGUGCAAGUAAAAGCGGCAGGAAUGUCCUGAGCUGGAGUCCUCCGCGAAGCUAUUUGAGACUCCAGCAGGAAUGUUCAGGCAUCCCAGGAUUUCUGGAAGUCUGACAAUAGCAGUGUUCUACUUAUUCACCCCUUGUCCUCUCCACUACAUCGCAGUGCUCCUGUUGACUUGAGAUCCCUUCACACCAAGCCAUGCUAGAAGCUCACUCACCAGCUCCACCAACAACAUGGAAAGGCAGCCCAUGGAAGAAACACCUGCUACCAGGCAUGAUGCACACCGGUGGUCUGGGUAGCCAUGAAUGCCUUUAGACUGACGGAGCACCUCUUAAGCUGAAGGUGUUUCUCUUUAAAUGUGUGACUGUGGUGUGAAUAUGAUCUCCACACUUUAUGGAAGAGUGGUCCUCCCUUGGUAAUUUAUUCUGAAUUCUAUCAUAUUAUAAACACAUUUUGGCACUGCAUACAAAAGCAAGACAGUCUAGCUCAUACUGGUGCCUUUUGAAGAAACUGUUUUAAAUGAAUUUAUAUGGCAAACAUACUUACACUGUAUAAUACAGAUGUCAUUUUAAGUCAUAAAAUAAAAAUGUAAGCUAUAUAUGAUGUAUGACUAUAUAUAAUAUGUUACGUAUAUAUUAUGUCAGAUACAUAUGACACAUAAAGUCCUCUAGUGUAUAAAGAAGACGCUAAUGAUGGCCUGAUCCAUAGCAACAUAUUCAUUCACUCAUUCAUUUAAAAACACAUAUUGUAUACUAACAUGCUCCAGGAAUAUGGCAGGAGCAUUAUAGAUUAUUUUCUCUUUUUGAGAUCUUAAUGAGCAUGAGUUUGUAAUUGGCUGGCUAGAAAACCUGUAUUCCCACUUCCCAGAGAGGAUGGGGGCAGAACACUUCACUUGCAGGGCUCAUUCCCUUUGAGUGAAGAUUGCCGUUAAGAGUUACGAGGCAAGGGAAGAGAUUUCAGAAAAGCUUAUAGAAGCUCUCUCUGUGUGUGACAAUUCCUCGCCAUCAAUAUGCAUAGAAUGGUUUUCCCAAGUGAGCAGAACAAAAUCCUUUUUGUUUUUUUCCAAAUAAGCAGCCUCUCAUGGGAAAGAAGGUAGAGUGGCAUCCCAGCUGGCAAGCACACAUCUAUUUCCAACGGGGCAUAAAAUCCACUUGACGU
This is a non-coding RNA of Peromyscus maniculatus bairdii (prairie deer mouse), 1826 nucleotides long. Lineage: Eukaryota; Metazoa; Chordata; Mammalia; Rodentia; Cricetidae. The record is from RefSeq and is a predicted model, not a curated record.